CAGAGACUGCAAGCGUUAUUCGGAUUCACUGGGCGUAAAGGGUGCGCAGGCGGCCGUGUGUGUGAGGCGUGAAGGCCCGGGGCUUAACCCCGGAAUUGCACCUCAAACUACAUGGCUAGAGCAUUGGAGAGGGUAGCAGAAUUCAUAGUGUAGCAGUGAAAUGCGUAGAUAUCAUGAGGAAUACCAGAGGCGAAGGCGGCUACCUGGACAAUUGCUGACGCUCAGGCACGAAAGCGUGGGGAGCAAAAGGGAUUAGAUACCCCUGUAGUCCACGCCCUAAACGGUGCACACUAGGUCUUGGCGGAUUCGACCCCACCAGGGCCCAAGCUAACGCGUUAAGUGUGCCGCCUGAGGACUACGGCCGCAAGGCUA
RNAcentral lists this ribosomal RNA (372 nucleotides) under uncultured organism. RNAcentral describes it as "bacterial SSU rRNA". It matches the Rfam family "Bacterial small subunit ribosomal RNA", at positions 526 to 896 of the family's 1533-position model. The record is from RNAcentral.